CCUGCCAGCCCGCUCAGAAACUUAAAGGAAUGACGGGGCCCGCACAAGCGGUGGAGCAUGUGGUUUAAUUCGAUGAUACGCGAGGAACCUUACCUGGGCUCAAAUGUAUGUUGACGUAUUCUGAAAGGGAUACUUCUUCGGACAAUAUACAAGGUGCUGCAUGGUUGUCGUCAGCUCGUGCCGUGAGGUGUCGGGUUAAGUCCCAUAACGAGCGCAACCCCUAUCAUUAGUUGCCAUCAGGUCAAGCUGGGGACUCUAAUGAAACUGCCUACGCAAGUAGUGAGGAAGGUGGGGACGACGUCAAGUCAUCAUGGCCCUUAUGUCCUGGGCUACACACGUGCUACAAUGGCCGGUACAAAGGGUUGCGAAGCCGCGAGGUGGAGCUAAUCCCAUAAAACCGAUCGUAGUCCGGAUCGCAGUCUGCAACUCGACUGCGUGAAGUCGGAAUCGCUAGUAAUCGUGAAUCAGAAUGUCACGGUGAAUACGUUCCCGGGCCUU
Molecule: ribosomal RNA, 498 nt
Filed under: uncultured Sphingobacteriales bacterium
Lineage: Bacteria; Pseudomonadati; Bacteroidota; Sphingobacteriia; Sphingobacteriales
Description: bacterial SSU rRNA
Rfam family: Bacterial small subunit ribosomal RNA
Source: RNAcentral